This is a non-coding RNA of Chelonoidis abingdonii (Abingdon island giant tortoise), 178 nucleotides long. NCBI's taxonomy places the organism in Eukaryota, Metazoa, Chordata, Testudines, Testudinidae. The record is from RefSeq and is a predicted model, not a curated record.
CAUGAGGACCUUCUGAGUUCCCCAAGAGGAAAUAAAUUUAUCCACUUUCUGCCCUGGCUGGUUUCCUUGCUCUGUUUCUAAUCUGUGCUGAAUCUCCCAGGAUUUUCCCUCCUCAUGACUCCUGGACACAUUCCUUUUCAAUCUUUGCGAUAAUGCUUCACUCUUUAGCCUCUUGCUC